This 581-nucleotide long non-coding RNA is filed under the name Vigna radiata. RNAcentral describes it as "long non-coding RNA (VRAD_LNC002817)". Lineage: Eukaryota; Viridiplantae; Streptophyta; Magnoliopsida; Fabales; Fabaceae. The record is from RNAcentral.
AUAAUGUCAUUUAUUCGAAAAUUUGAUCGAAAAAUUUGUCACCCAAUUUAAUGGGGUUUUUUGUAUGUUAAGGGGAGAUGGGUGAUAAGAAGAGAAGAUGACGAAAAAAAAAAGGAACAUGAGGAUGUGUAGGAGGAGAAGAUGAUGUGAUGAUGAUGACGAAGGUUGUUAGAGUUAGAGAAAGAAAAAAGGGAAGAGGAAGACAAAAAAUCGAAAAAAUAGGAGCAUGAUGAUGAUGAAGAUGAUGAUCUGGAGGUUACGAUGGUGGCGUGACGGACCGACGUGGUUGAGAGGAUGAAGAAAUAAAGGAAAAAGAAGAGAAAGAGAAAAAGGAAGACAAAGAUCUAAUCAUAUAUUUUAUCGAUGGACAAAUAACCACUUUACUAACAAUUUUUUUCUUUAGUAGUUUGUGGAUAAACACGAUUUACUGACAAAUUUUCUCUAUUACCAUAGAUAUUAUCUGUCAGUAAUAUGCAAUUUUCUUGUAGUGCAUAAUGUUGAAAUUGGUAUACAAUAGUAUGACUUUUUAUAAUAUUUUCACAUAACAAAAUAAAAUUGAGGUUCUAUCUCACAUCACUCAC